This is an RNA transcript of Hippopotamus amphibius kiboko, 2353 nucleotides long. It is a transcript of the gene named pleckstrin homology like domain family A member 1, with no coding region annotated. The record is from RefSeq and is a predicted model, not a curated record. NCBI's taxonomy places the organism in Eukaryota, Metazoa, Chordata, Mammalia, Artiodactyla, Hippopotamidae. The transcript has 3 exons.
AUGAGGCGUGCGCCGGCGGCGGAGCGCCUCUGCGAGCUGGGCUUUCCCCCGCGGCGCGGGCGCCAGGAGCCGCCUUUUCCGCUGGGUGUCACUCGGGGGUGGGGGGGAUGGCCCAUUCAAAAGCGCCGCGAGAGGGCCCGGCCAGUGCCCUUCAGUGAGCGCUCGCAGGAGGACGGGAGAGGCCCGGCGGCUCGCAGCUCCGGGACGUUGUGGCGCAUCAGGACGCGGCUGCCUUGCUGCCCGGACCCCGAGCCGCCGCCGCUCUGCUUUCUGCGCGUUAGCCUCUUCUGCGCGCUCCGGCCGGGCGGCCGCGGGAGCCGUUGGGGCGAGGACGGCGCGCGGCUGCUGCUGCUGCCCCCGGCCCGGGCGGCUGGAAGUGGAGAGGCCGAGCCGAGCGGCGGCCCCCCCUAUGCCGGGAGGAUGUUGGAGAGCAGCGGCUGCAAGGCGCUGAAGGAGGGUGUGUUGGAGAAGCGCAGCGACGGGUUGCUGCAGCUCUGGAAGAAAAAGUGCUGCAUCCUCACUGAAGAGGGACUGCUGCUCAUCCCGCCCAAGCAGCUGCAACACCAGCAGCAGCAGCAGCAGCAGCAACAGCCCGGGCAGGGGCCGGUCGAGCCGUCCCAACCCGGAGGCCCUGCUGUGGCCAGCCUCGAGCCGCCGGUCAAGCUCAAGGAAUUGCACUUUUCCAACAUGAAGACGGUGGACUGCGUGGAGCGCAAGGGCAAGUAUAUGUACUUCACGGUGGUGAUGGCCGAGGGCAAGGAAAUCGACUUUCGGUGCCCACAGGACCAGGGCUGGAACGCGGAGAUCACGCUGCAAAUGGUGCAGUACAAGAAUCGACAGGCCAUCCUGGCGGUCAAGUCCACGCGGCAGAAGCAGCAGCACCUGGUCCAGCAGCAGCCUCCGCAGCCGCAGCUUCAGCCCCAGCCCCAGCCCCAACCCCAACCCCAACCCCAGCCGCAGCCGCAUCCCCAAGCCCAGCCGCAACCGCAGCCGCAGCCUCAACCCAAGCCCCAGCCCCAGCCGCAGCCGCAGCAGCUCCAUCAGUAUCCGCAUCCGCACCCGCAUCCGCAUUCGCACUCGCUUUCGCACCCGCACCCGCACCCGCACCAACUACCGCACCCGCACCAACAACCGCUCUCGCAGUCGCACGGCCACCGGCUUCUCCGCAGCACCUCCAACUCUGCCUAAAGAGGGCAGCACCCGGGCCAGGCGAGGUUUUCAGGACUUGAGGAAGUGGGACGAGCACCUUUCUAUUGUCUUCACUUGGAUCAAAAACAAAACAGUCUCCCCGCCCCGCACCAGAUCAAGUAGUUUGGACAGAACCCGACUGAUAACUUGCGAUUCCGCUUAGUUUUCUGCGUACUCUUCAUCACAAUGCAGGAAAUGAUUUUGAGUCCAGAAGGCUUUAUUUAUGAACCUUUGAGAGGAUCUUCCAGUAUGGUGGACCUUCUAGGAGCGAUGAUGGCGAGUGACUUGGUUUUAGCUUGGCUCCAGGUGUCUACAGUGUCAUGUUCCGUGGCAGGUUGGCAAGAGGGAUCUAAGACUUGAAUGAAACUGGAGCAAUCUCAUAGAAAAUAGAGCUUCGCAUGAUGACGAUGGGCCUGUGAGCAUUCAUUUUCCUCUUUUUCUGGUAAAUGUCAAACUAAUUGGAUUUUGCUUUACCAAUAAAAUGCCCUCAGUAGAAUAAAAUUUAAAUUUGGGAAUUAUAGAGCUCGAUAUUAAAUCCAGUAGGGAUUCUUUCAAGGGAAAUACACCUGUUUACCUAAAGCAACCUAAGAUGUAUUAAUUGUGGAAUCACGUUGGAUGGGUUUUUAAGAACUAUUUUUUAAAUUCUUGACACAGUUUAAAGGGUGAAUUUUGAUCUGCGGUGCUUGAACAGCCAAUCUAGAUUUACACGGAUGGAUGACAGAGUGAUCUGUGACUUUGUUGGCAGGAUAUCUGCCAAAUGGAGUAUAGGAUCCAACAGGGUUUCUUAGGGCAUUAUUUUCCAGUGAAGGAAGCAGAAGGACCCUGGACCAUUAGAAGCAGCUGCAUAAAAACUCCUACCUGUUCUGAAGCUGGCCUACUGGUGAUCAGCUGGGUGGUGGGGAAGCAGAUUUUAACAACAGUGGUCCUUCAAGAUCAUUGUAUUUAUUUUGAGAAGAAAGAUGAAACAAUUGUCUGUUACAUUCCCCUGUCAACCUUCUGCUUAAAAUUUCAGAAUAUGCAAAUACCAGCUUUGAAAACAAGCAUCACCAUGUACCAAAAUGCUUUCCAAACUAUCACAUUUGUGAACUUAAUGAAGUAGUCAUAAUUUGUAUAAAUAUGAUUUUGGAGAGAUGUGAUUUAUUUUUCAUAUUUUCAAAAUGCAUUC